GACUCGGUGGCGAGGGGUCUCGCAUCCGCAACAUUUGAAUGCGGUCAUUUGAAAUCAAUUCAGCGGAAGCACUGGUUCGAUUCCAGGCUGGGUCA
This is a non-coding RNA of Mycena metata, 95 nucleotides long. The record is from the annotation of a GenBank genome assembly. NCBI's taxonomy places the organism in Eukaryota, Fungi, Basidiomycota, Agaricomycetes, Agaricales, Mycenaceae.